Molecule: transfer RNA, 72 nt
Filed under: Tupiella akineta
Lineage: Eukaryota; Viridiplantae; Chlorophyta; Ulvophyceae; Ulotrichales; Tupiellaceae
Description: tRNA-Thr
Rfam family: tRNA
About the family: Transfer RNA (tRNA) molecules are approximately 80 nucleotides in length. Their secondary structure includes four short double-helical elements and three loops (D, anti-codon, and T loops).
Source: RNAcentral
GCGCUAUUAAUUUAGUUGGUAGAAUUUUGAUUUUGUAAAUCAAUCGGGGGAGUUCGAAUCUUCCAUAGCGCA